This 499-nucleotide unclassified non-coding RNA is filed under the name uncultured Paraglomus. RNAcentral describes it as "SSU rRNA". It matches the Rfam family "Eukaryotic small subunit ribosomal RNA", at positions 591 to 1092 of the family's 1831-position model. Lineage: Eukaryota; Fungi; Glomeromycota; Glomeromycetes; Paraglomerales; Paraglomeraceae. The record is from RNAcentral.
CCAAUAGCGUAUAUUAAAGUUGUUGUGGUUAAAAAGCUCGUAGUUGAACCUUGGGCCUGGCUGGCCGGUCCGCCUCACCGCGUGUACUGGUCCGGCCGGGCCUUUCCCUCUGGGGAACCUCAUGCCCUUCACUGGGUGUGACGGGGAAGCAGGACUUUUACUGUGAAAAAAUUAGAGUGCUCCAAGCAGGCCUAUGCUCGAAUACAUUAGCAUGGAAUAAUAAAAUAGGACGUGCGGUUCUAUUUUGUUGGUUUCUAGGACCGCCGUAAUGAUUAAUAGGGACCGUCGGGGUCAUCAGUAUUCAAUUGUCAGAGGUGAAAUUCUUGGAUUUAUUGAAGACUAACUACUGCGAAAGCAUUUGCCAAGGAUGUUUUCAUUAAUCAAGAACGAAAGUUAGGGGAUCGAAGACGAUCAGAUACCGUCGUAGUCUUAACCAUAAACUAUGCCGACUAGGGAUCGGAUGAUGUUAAUUUUUUAAUGACUCAUUCGGCGCCUUACG